GUGGGGAAUAUUGGACAAUGGGGGGAACCCUGAUCCAGCCAUGCCGCGUGUGUGAAGAAGGCCUUUUGGUUGUAAAGCACUUUAAGCGAGGAGGAGGCUACCGAGAUUAAUACUCUUGGAUAGUGGACGUUACUCGCAGAAUAAGCACCGGCUAACUCUGUGCCAGCAGCCGCGGUAAUACAGAGGGUGCGAGCGUUAAUCGGAUUUACUGGGCGUAAAGCGUGCGUAGGCGGCUUUUUAAGUCGGAUGUGAAAUCCCUGAGCUUAACUUAGGAAUUGCAUUCGAUACUGGGAAGCUAGAGUAUGGGAGAGGAUGGUAGAAUUCCAGGUGUAGCGGUGAAAUGCGUAGAGAUCUGGAGGAAUACCGAUGGCGAAGGCAGCCAUCUGGCCUAAUACUGACGCUGAGGUACGAAAGCAUGGGGAGCAAACAGGAUUAGAAACCCCGGUAGUCC
This 451-nucleotide ribosomal RNA is filed under the name uncultured bacterium. Its description in RNAcentral is "partial 16S ribosomal RNA". It matches the Rfam family "Bacterial small subunit ribosomal RNA", at positions 354 to 796 of the family's 1533-position model. The record is from RNAcentral.